ACAAACACUGGGGUUGAGACUAAAGAGCUGAUCCAAAAUGAUGUGGCUGAGCACCAACUGGACAUACCUGUGACUGAAUCUAUUUUUAGUGACCCAAAAAUUGAGGAUAAUGAUAUUUCGCUUAAGGAGGACACUAAGACCAACUCUGCAUGCUUCCAGAAGAUUACAGUUGGCCAACAAACACCGGAAGAGAGAAAUGAGAAGGACAAAGGGCAAAAUAGACUAGAAGAAGAGAGAGAGAAGAUGGAGGAGCGAGAAAAGAAAUGGGUGGAAGAGGAAAUAAGAAAGGGAGAGAGAGUUCAAGAAAACAGCCAGAAGCAUAAGACAAAACAGGAGCAAGAGACAAUGAAGUUAAAUAUGGGCAGAGAAAGAAUGGAAGAAGAGAUAAAGAUGAUGGAUGCAGAACAUGAUAAAGCCAAUAUGUCAAGGAGACUGGAAGAGAAGAGUAUGAGUGCUCUGGAAGAAGAAGAGGAGAAGAGGAGGAGGGUAAAGAAGGAAGUUGAGACAGAGAUGGUGAAAGGACAUCCCUCCCCUGCAGAGAAG
Molecule: long non-coding RNA, 543 nt
Organism: Clupea harengus (Atlantic herring)
Lineage: Eukaryota; Metazoa; Chordata; Actinopteri; Clupeiformes; Clupeidae
Source: Ensembl